Molecule: ribosomal RNA, 265 nt
Filed under: uncultured bacterium
Lineage: Bacteria
Description: partial 16S ribosomal RNA
Rfam family: Bacterial small subunit ribosomal RNA
Source: RNAcentral
GUCCACGCCCUAAACGAUGAUGACUAGUUGUUGGAGGAGUUAAAUCCUUUAGUAACGCAGCUAACGCGCGAAGUCAUCCGCCUGGGGAGUACGGUCGCAAGAUUAAAACUCAAAGGAAUUGACGGGGCCCGCACAAGCGGUGGAUGAUGUGGUUUAAUUCGAUGCAACGCGAAAAACCUUACCUACCCUUGACAUGUGCGGAACCCUGCAGAGAUGCAGGGGUGCCCGAAAGGGAGCCGCAACACAGGUGCUGCAUGGCUGUCGU